CAAAGUAGAGCUUGGAUAGUGAGCAUUCCAUUUACGUUGGAGAGGUUUUGUGCAAAUCAGAUAUUUUGA
Molecule: transfer RNA, 69 nt
Filed under: Teleogryllus emma (emma field cricket)
Lineage: Eukaryota; Metazoa; Arthropoda; Insecta; Orthoptera; Gryllidae
Also listed under: 1 other name
Description: tRNA-Val
Source: RNAcentral